UACGAGGGGGGCAAAUGUUGUUCGGAAUCACUGGGCGUAAAGGGUGCGUAGGCGGGUUUUUAAGUCAGGGGUGAAAUCCUGGAGCUCAACUCCAGAACUGCCUUUGAUACUGAAGAUCUUGAGUCCGGGAGAGGUGAGUGGAACUGCGAGUGUAGAGGUGAAAUUCGUAGAUAUUCGCAAGAACACCAGUGGCGAAGGCGGCUCACUGGCCCGGUACUGACGCUGAGGCACGAAAGCGUGGGGAGCAAACAGG
This 253-nucleotide ribosomal RNA is filed under the name uncultured bacterium. RNAcentral's name for it is "partial 16S ribosomal RNA". It matches the Rfam family "Bacterial small subunit ribosomal RNA", at positions 524 to 776 of the family's 1533-position model. The record is from RNAcentral.